UACAAGGGAUUUAAAAAGGGUU
RNAcentral lists this non-coding RNA (22 nucleotides) under Arabidopsis thaliana (thale cress). The record is from RNAcentral. Lineage: Eukaryota; Viridiplantae; Streptophyta; Magnoliopsida; Brassicales; Brassicaceae.